Molecule: ribosomal RNA, 468 nt
Filed under: uncultured bacterium
Lineage: Bacteria
Description: partial 16S ribosomal RNA
Rfam family: Bacterial small subunit ribosomal RNA
Source: RNAcentral
GACGAACGCUGGCGGCGUGCUUAACACAUGCAAGUCGAACGGAAAGGCCCUGCUUUUGUGGGGUGCUCGAGUGGCGAACGGGUGAGUAACACGUGAGUAACCUGCCCUUGACUUUGGGAUAACUUCAGGAAGCUGGGGCUAAUACCGGAUAGGAGCUCAUGCUGCAUGGGGGGGGUUGGAAAGUUUCGGCGGUUGGGGAUGGACUCGCGGCUUAUCAGCUUGUUGGUGGGGUAGUGGCUUACCAAGGCUUUGACGGGUAGCCGGCCUGAGAGGGUGACCGGCCACAUUGGGACUGAGAUACGGCCCAGACUCCUACGGGAGGCAGCAGUGGGGAAUAUUGCACAGUGGGCGGAAGCCUGAUGCAGCAACGCCGCGUGCGGGAUGACGGCCUUCGGGUUGUAAACCGCUUUCGCCUGUGACGAAGCGUGAGUGACGGUAAUGGGUAAAGAAGCACCGGCUAACUACGUG